UAUACUGCCCGACGACUGGCAUUCAUCGUUUACGGUGUGGACUACCAGGGUAUCUAAUCCUGUUUGCUCCCCACACUUUCGUACCUCAGCGUCAGUAUCGAGCCAGUGAGCCGCCUUCGCCACUGGUGUUCCUCCAAAUAUCUACGAAUUUCACCUCUACACUUGGAAUUCCACUCACCUCUCUCGAACUCAAGACCAGGAGUUUAUGAGGCAGUUCCAGGGUUAAGCCCUGGGAUUUCACCCCAUACUUUCUGAUCCGCCUACGUACGCUUUACGCCCAGUAAUUCCGAACAACGCUAGCCCCCUCCGUAUUACCGCGGCUGCUGGCACGGAGUUAGCCGGGGCUUCUUUACUAGGUACUGUCAUUAUCAUCCCUAGCGAAAGAGCUUUACGACCCUAAGGCCUUCAUCACUCACGCGGCAUGGCUAGAUCAGGCUUUCGCCCAUUGUCUAAGAUUCCCCACUGCUGCCUCCCGUAGGAGUCUGGGCCGUGUCUCAGUCCCAGUGUUGCUGAUCAUCCUCUAAAACCAGCUAAAGAUCGUAGACUUGGUAGGCCAUUACCCCACCAACUAUCUAAUCUUACGCGGGCCAAUCCCUCACCGAUAAAUCUUUCCCCCGAAGGGCGUAUAUGGUAUUACUCUCAGUUUCCCGAGGCUAUUCCAUAGAAAGGGGUAUGUUCCCACGCGUUACUAACCCGUCCGCCGCUCCACCCGAAGGUAGCGCUCGACUUGCAUGUGUUAGGCCUGCCGCCAGCGUUCGUUCUGAGCCAGGAUCAAACUCU
RNAcentral lists this ribosomal RNA (780 nucleotides) under uncultured bacterium. Its description in RNAcentral is "partial 16S ribosomal RNA". The record is from RNAcentral.